RNAcentral lists this ribosomal RNA (301 nucleotides) under uncultured bacterium. RNAcentral describes it as "partial 16S ribosomal RNA". It matches the Rfam family "Bacterial small subunit ribosomal RNA", at positions 509 to 807 of the family's 1533-position model. The record is from RNAcentral.
CAGUAGCCACGGGAAUACGGAGGGCGCGAGCGUUACCCGGAUUUACUGGGCGUAAAGGGCGUGUAGGCGGCCUGGGGCGUCCCAUGUGAAAGGCCACGGCUCAACCGUGGAGGAGCGUGGGAUACGCUCAGGCUAGAGGGUGGGAGAGGGUGGUGGAAUUCCCGGAGUAGCGGUGAAAUGCGCAGAUACCGGGAGGAACGCCGAUGGCGAAGGCAGCCACCUGGUCCACUUCUGACGCUGAGGCGCGAAAGCGUGGGGAGCGAACAGGAUUAGAUACCCCGGUAGUCCCUGUCUCUUAUAC